CCUUUCUACACUUGUCCACUUUGGAUCCAGAAUUGCAACCUACUAAGAUAGAAUCCUCUUUGGUUGUGUUCACACUAAGCUAUAUUGAAGAAUUAAAAGUGAAUUAAACUGCAUUGGCUUCUACAGGUUAUGAAUAUUUAAUUAAGCAAUCCACCUCAAACCACCUCUGGAUGUGGAUUCACUGGAUCUAGAUUCAAUCCCAAUUCAAGACAAGUGUGAACAAGCUAAUCCUGCUUUAAUCCUGGAUUUUGUCUUAAUUCUGGAUCCAAAGUGGACAAGUGUAGAAAGGCCUUAAUUAUUCGGCUCCAGUGGUAGCUUCAGCCACAUUGUUGAAACCACUAUUGCCAACCCAGUCUUGCUGUGUCCAAAAUGAGUGCCGCUUUGGUGAACUUUCAACUUUUCGGGAGUUUUAUACUUUUUGGAAUUGCUGUGGUUGUACUAAUUGUGUUGAGCUUUUCACAAAGAAGAGCAAAGAAAGGUUUGAGUACCUGUAAUGGAGUCCCAGGGAUUGUACCGUGAGUUUUAAGUUCAUAAAUCUGUCCACUGCAUGUAAAAAAAUCCUUCCAAAAGUUAUUAUAUAGGCGGUAGCCUAUAUGUAGGAUUGAGGUUGAUUUUUCAAGAUGGCGUCCGUUUUUAUUAUUAUUAUUAUUAUUAAUAAACUCUACAGCACAAUAGUAGAAUGAAAACACAGGGAGUUAGAGUGCUGAUGGUAACCUGGUAAACUCACCAGGAACCAGAAAAAAAAAGAAAAAA
Long non-coding RNA from Amphimedon queenslandica, 753 nucleotides. RefSeq lists it as uncharacterized. Lineage: Eukaryota; Metazoa; Porifera; Demospongiae; Haplosclerida; Niphatidae. The record is from RefSeq and is a predicted model, not a curated record. The transcript has 3 exons.